Molecule: transfer RNA, 73 nt
Filed under: Stegodyphus mimosarum
Lineage: Eukaryota; Metazoa; Arthropoda; Arachnida; Araneae; Eresidae
Rfam family: tRNA
About the family: Transfer RNA (tRNA) molecules are approximately 80 nucleotides in length.
Source: Rfam by way of RNAcentral
GCCUUUGUGGUGUAGUGGUCAGCACGCUCGAUGCGUAACCGAGAGGUCCGUGGUUCGAUUCCCGUUGAGGGCA